GGGAAUUUUUGACAAUGGCGAAAGCCUGAUCCAGCAAUGCCGCGUGCAGGAUGAAGCCUUCGGGUUGUAAACUGCUUUUGUACGGAACGAAAAAGCUUCUCCUAAUACGAGAGGCCCAUGACGGUACCGUAAGAAUAAGCACCGGCUAACUACGUGCCAGCAGCCGCGGUAAUACGUAGGGUGCGAGCGUUAAUCGGAAUUACUGGGCGUAAAGCGUGCGCAGGCGGUUAUGUAAGACAGAUGUGAAAUCCCCGGGCUCAACCUGGGAACUGCAUUUGUGACUGCAUGGCUAGAGUACGGUAGAGGGGGAUGGAAUUCCGCGUGUAGCAGUGAAAUGCGUAGAUAUGCGGAGGAACACCGAUGGCGAAGGCAAUCCCCUGGACCUGUACUGACGCUCAUGCACGAAAGCGUGGGGAGCACACAGGAUUAGAUACCCUGGUAGUCCACGCCCUAAACGAUGUCAACUGGUUGUUGGGAAUUAGUUUUCUCAGUAACGAAGCUAACGCGUGAAGUUGACCGCCUGGGGAGUAC
RNAcentral lists this ribosomal RNA (531 nucleotides) under uncultured prokaryote. RNAcentral's name for it is "bacterial SSU rRNA". It matches the Rfam family "Bacterial small subunit ribosomal RNA", at positions 357 to 883 of the family's 1533-position model. The record is from RNAcentral.